Molecule: ribosomal RNA, 510 nt
Filed under: uncultured bacterium
Lineage: Bacteria
Description: partial 16S ribosomal RNA
Rfam family: Bacterial small subunit ribosomal RNA
Source: RNAcentral
GACGAACGCUGGCGGCGUGCUUAACACAUGCAAGUCGAACGAAGAGCGAUGGAAGCUUGCUUCUAUCAAUCUUAGUGGCGAACGGGUGAGUAACGCGUAAUCAACCUGCCCUUCAGAGGGGGACAACAGUUGGAAACGACUGCUAAUACCGCAUACGAUCUGACCUCGGCAUCGAGGAUAGAUGAAAGGUGGCCUCUACAUGUAAGCUAUCACUGAAGGAGGGGAUUGCGUCUGAUUAGCUAGUUGGAGGGGUAGCGGCCCACCAAGGCGAUGAUCAGUAGCCGGUCUGAGAGGAUGAACGGCCACAUUGGGACUGAGACACGGCCCAGACUCCUACGGGAGGCAGCAGUGGGGAAUCUUCCGCAAUGGACGAAAGUCUGACGGAGCAACGCCGCGUGAGUGAUGACGGCCUUCGGGUUGUAAAGCUCUGUUAAUCGGGACGAAAGGCCUUUUUGCGAAUAGUGAGAAGGAUUGACGGUACCGGAAUAGAAAGCCACGGCUAACUACGUG